AUUGAACGCUGGCGGCAGGCCUAACACAUGCAAGUCGAGCGGAUGAAGGGAGCUUGCUCCUGGAUUCAGCGGCGGACGGGUGAGUAAUGCCUAGGAAUCUGCCUGGUAGUGGGGGAUAACGUCCGGAAACGGGCGCUAAUACCGCAUACGUCCUGAGGGAGAAAGUGGGGGAUCUUCGGACCUCACGCUAUCAGAUGAGCCUAGGUCGGAUUAGCUAGUUGGUGGGGUAAAGGCCUACCAAGGCGACGAUCCGUAACUGGUCUGAGAGGAUGAUCAGUCACACUGAAACUGAGACACGGCCCAGCCUCCUACGGAAGGCAGCGGUGGGGAAUAUUGGACAAUGGGCGAAAGCCUGAUCCAGCCAUGCCGCGUGUGUGAAGAAGGUCUUCGGUUUGUAAAGCCCUUAAGUUGGGAGGAAGGGCAGUAAGUUAAUACCUUGCUGUUUUGACGUUACCAACAGAAUAAGCACCGGCUAACUUCGUG
This 483-nucleotide ribosomal RNA is filed under the name uncultured bacterium. RNAcentral's name for it is "partial 16S ribosomal RNA". It matches the Rfam family "Bacterial small subunit ribosomal RNA", at positions 30 to 507 of the family's 1533-position model. The record is from RNAcentral.